AAAUCCCUGAGUAGCCGAUUAGUUUUGAUCCUACAUUUAUUGUUAAUAGGGAGCCUUUCUCCGUUUUUUAUAGUGACGUAUACCUAAUUUACUUUAGGAAACGAAAAAUCUAUAAGGGUGGGCACCCAUCCUGGCUGAUCACCGGGAAUCAAAACAGCGGUUGUUCAGGGCUUUU
Candidatus Melainabacteria bacterium GWA2_34_9 is the source of this 175-nucleotide non-coding RNA. NCBI's taxonomy places the organism in Bacteria, Bacillati, Candidatus Melainabacteria. The record is from Rfam.